UCAUCUGAAGAUCUGAACGCGUUUACCAUUAAGUAUAACAAGACAGACGAGUAACAUGGCCUGUGGCAAGAAAGUUCUCAUCUUUGUUACUUUGAUAGUUGGAUUGUUGGUGUUCGUAGAUAAGAGUUCUUCGACUAUGCCCGUGCCCGUGCCUGGACCUCCUUAUGGUAAAAGAAGCAGCAUCAGUAAGGAAGUCCGUCUUAACAUCUGCAAUGCAGCAAGACUCGUGCAAUGUUUGGCAAGCGAUGGGCUCCGAAUGGAUAUCGAUUAGCGAUGACACUUCGAUCUCCGAUCCGAUACAUCACGAUGUUUACCUUAAAAAUYACCAGGAGUUGAGAAAAACACUUUCAUCGCAACCUAUUGGUUAUUAGCGAUAUUGGAUAGACAUUAAGGAUAACAAGGAAACAUGUAAAAAAUACAUUAUUAGUUUGUGUUGAGUAACAUGGAAUCCAAUAAAAUGUUGAAAUACUUAUGAA
Molecule: long non-coding RNA, 476 nt
Organism: Actinia tenebrosa (Australian red waratah sea anemone)
Lineage: Eukaryota; Metazoa; Cnidaria; Anthozoa; Actiniaria; Actiniidae
Source: RefSeq, a predicted model, not a curated record